UUCUGAUACCCAGAAACCACAGAUCUCUCUUAAUUUCAUACAUUAACAUCGCGUCCUCUCAAACAGUGAACAGAUCAGACUUUUGUCAGAUUCUUAAGCCCCUAUUACACGUAUCCGGCUUCCUACGGCGCCGUCGGUCGCGACGCUAGCAUAUGUUCAAACCGGAGCGUGUGAUAGCAAAUCGGCCGUAUGAACGCUCACCCACGGCCGGCCGGAUGAACUUUCGCCAGUACUAAAGUUGGCCGUACGGCCGCCGUACGUCAGGACUGAGGACGUAGCGUGCAAUUGCUCACCGUAUGGUAUGACAUCAGUCUGAGGCUGCACCUGACAGUGGAAGGUUGCCACCAUGGCAAGCUCUUGCGCCAGUGAUUUCUUGAGUGACUUCAUAGAAAUUUAUCGAAAUGAGCCAUGUUUGUGGUUCAUUAAAUGUAAGGAUUAUUCAAACAGAGAAUUGGAAAAUGCAGCAUAUGGUAAAUUAGUAAAUAAACUUCAAGAAAUUGAUCCUAGUGCUAAUAAAGAUACUGUUGUUAAGAAAAUAAACUACUUGAGGAGCUCAUACAAUAAAGAGCUUAAAAAAGUGCAAGCGUCUAAAAGUUCGGGGAUCGGUUCAUACUCCAUUUAUACGCCAAAACUCUUAUAUUUUCAUCUGAUGCAUUUCAUCAAAAACCAAAAUGUGGAAUGUGAACAAUCUUUCAAACAUGAGCCUUAAUACACAGGAAAUCAAUGAAGAGAAUCUCAAGAAGACGAUCUCGCUGAAGAGAGGGAAACCCAACAUGAGGAUGAUUCUUCGCUACUGCCUUCACGGCAUACUACAUCAGUCCUACCGGCACCACCAAAAAGGCGCAGAUCGGUACAAGGCAAAGCUGAUCACGUUUUGGACCUUGUAGCAAAAAGGAUGGAAGCACCUCCAAAUUCGGAAUAUGUUGUGUUUGGUAUGUAUGUGGCUAAAAGGUUACAAAGCUUGCAUUUAGCAAACCCGGGGAUGUAUCCGGUUGUUAAAAAGCUAAUAAAUGACGCUAUGUUCGAGGGUGAAAUGGGCACAUUGACGCCCUAUUCACGAAUUGCCCAAAACUAAGCUCCAUCUCUAUCUAGCACUCCUGUACCUACUCCAAGCCCAAGUCAUUACCAAGCUCCAUCGCUAUCUAGCACUCCUGUACCUACUCCAAGCCCAAGUCAUUACCAAGCUCCAUCUCUGUCUAGCACUACUGUACCUACUCCAAGCCCAAGUGCGGAUUACAAUUAUGAGACAGAUGAUAUUCUCCAAAUGUAAUGUAGGUACACAUGUACAUUUAUGAACCUUGGAUACUCUGGAAUAAAGUUUGAAACUUCUUUAUUUUUUCAAUUAACCUGGUAUGAAUGUUUCAUACUAAAACGAGAAAUUAUAGUUAUUUGUGCAAAAAAAAAAAAAAAAAAAAAAA
Penaeus monodon (black tiger shrimp) is the source of this 1418-nucleotide long non-coding RNA. RefSeq lists it as uncharacterized. The record is from RefSeq and is a predicted model, not a curated record. NCBI's taxonomy places the organism in Eukaryota, Metazoa, Arthropoda, Malacostraca, Decapoda, Penaeidae. The transcript has 2 exons.